CCUACGGGAGGCUGCAGUGAGGAAUAUUGGUCAAUGGGCGAGAGCCUGAACCAGCCAAGUAGCGUGAAGGAUGACUGCCCUACGGGUUGUAAACCUCUUUUAUAAAGGAAUAAAGUGAGGCACGGGAGCCUUUUUGUAUGUACUUGAAGAAUAAGGAUCGGCUAACUCCGUGCCAGCAGCCGCGGUAAUACGGAGGAUCCGAGCGUUAUCCGGAUUUAUUGGGUUUAAAGGGAGCGUAGAUGGGUGGCAAAGUCAGGUGUGAAAGUUGGGGGCUCAACCCUAAUAUUGCCAUUGAUACUGGGUGCCUUGAGUGCAGUAUGGGUAGGCGGAAUUCGUGGUGUAGCGGUGAAAUGCAUAGAUAUCACGAAGAACUCCGAUUGCGAAGGCAGCCUAC
This 394-nucleotide ribosomal RNA is filed under the name uncultured bacterium. Its description in RNAcentral is "partial 16S ribosomal RNA". It matches the Rfam family "Bacterial small subunit ribosomal RNA", at positions 338 to 729 of the family's 1533-position model. The record is from RNAcentral.